Molecule: ribosomal RNA, 469 nt
Filed under: uncultured bacterium
Lineage: Bacteria
Description: bacterial SSU rRNA
Rfam family: Bacterial small subunit ribosomal RNA
Source: RNAcentral
GAUGAACGCUGGCGGCGUGCCUAACACAUGCAAGUCGAGCGAACCCUUCGGGGUGAGCGGCGGACGGGUGAGUAACGCGUGGGUAACCUGCCCUAUACACAUGGAUAACAUACCGAAAGGUAUGCUAAUACAAGAUAACAUAACGAGUUCGCAUGGAUUUGUUAUCAAAGCGUUAGCGGUAUAGGAUGGACCCGCGUCUGAUUAGCUAGUUGGUAAGGUAAUGGCUUACCAAGGCGACGAUCAGUAGCCGACCUGAGAGGGUGAUCGGCCACAUUGGAACUGAGACACGGUCCAAACUCCUACGGGAGGCAGCAGUGGGGAAUAUUGCACAAUGGGCGAAAGCCUGAUGCAGCAACGCCGCGUGAGCGAUGAAGGCCUUCGGGUCGUAAAGCUCUGUCCUCAAGGAAGAUAAUGACGGUACUUGAGGAGGAAGCCCCGGCUAACUACGUGCCAGCCGCCGCCGUAACAC